Molecule: ribosomal RNA, 301 nt
Filed under: uncultured bacterium
Lineage: Bacteria
Description: partial 16S ribosomal RNA
Rfam family: Bacterial small subunit ribosomal RNA
Source: RNAcentral
CAGCAGCCACGGUAAUACGUAGGUGGCAAGCGUUGUCCGGAAUUAUUAGGCGUAAAGCGCGCGCAGGUGGUUUAAUAAGUCUGAUGUGAAAGCCCACGGCUCCACCGUGGAGGGUCAUUGGAAACUGUUAAACUUGAGUGCAGGAGAGAAAAGUGGAAUUCCUAGUGUAGCGGUGAAAUGCGUAGAGAUUAGGAGGAACACCAGUGGCGAAGGCGGCUUUUUGGCCUGUAACUGACACUGAGGCGCGAAAGCGUGGGGAGCAAACAGGAUUAGAUACCCGCGUAGUCCCUGUCUCUUAUAC